RNAcentral lists this ribosomal RNA (465 nucleotides) under uncultured bacterium. RNAcentral's name for it is "bacterial SSU rRNA". It matches the Rfam family "Bacterial small subunit ribosomal RNA", at positions 338 to 795 of the family's 1533-position model. The record is from RNAcentral.
CCUACGGGUCGCAGCAGUAGGGAAUAUUGCACAAUGGGCGCAAGCCUGAUGCAGCCAUGCCGCGUGUGUGAAGAAGGCCUUCGGGUUGUAAAGCACUUUCAGCGAGGAGGAAGGUGGUGAACUUAAUACGUUCAUCAAUUGACGUUACUUGCAGAAGAAGCACCGGCUAACUCCGUGCCAGCAGCCGCGGUAAUACGGAGGGUGCAAGCGUUAAUCGGAAUUACUGGGCGUAAAGCGCACGCAGGCGGUUUGUUAAGUCAGAUGUGAAAUCCCCGGGCUCAACCUGGGAACUGCAUUUGAAACUGGCAAGCUAGAGUCUCGUAGAGGGGGGUAGAAUUCCAGGUGUAGCGGUGAAAUGCGUAGAGAUCUGGAGGAAUACCGGUAGCGAAGGCGGCCCCCUGGACGAAGACUGACGCUCAGGUGCGAAAGCGUGGGGAGCAAACAGGAUUAGAUACCCCCGUAGUC